CCUUACCUGGUCUUGACAUAGUAAGAACUUUCCAGAGAUGGAUUGGUGCCUUCGGGAACUUACAUACAGGUGCUGCAUGACUGUCGUCAGCUCGUGUCGUGAGAUGUUGGGUUAAGUCCCGCAACGAGCGCAACCCUUUUCCUUAUUUGCCAGCGGGUUAAGCCGGGAACUUUAAGGAUACUGCCAGUGACAAACUGGAGGAAGGCGGGGACGACGUCAAGUCAUCAUGGCCCUUACGACCAGGGCUACACACGUGCUACAAUGGUCGGUACAAAGGGUUGCUACCACGCGAGUGGAUGCUAAUCUCAAAAAGCCGAUCGUAGUCCGGAUUGGAGUCUGCAACUCGACUCCAUGAAGUCGGAAUCGCUAGUAAUCGCGGAUCAGAAUGCCGCGGUGAAUACGUUCCCGGGCCUUGUACACACCGCCCGUCACACCAUGGGAGUUUGUUGCACCAGAAGUAGGUAGUCUAACCGCAAGGAGGACGCUUACCACGGUGUGGCAGAUGACUGGGGUGAAGUCGUAACAAGGUAAGCGUAGAUGA
This 541-nucleotide ribosomal RNA is filed under the name uncultured bacterium. RNAcentral's name for it is "bacterial SSU rRNA". It matches the Rfam family "Bacterial small subunit ribosomal RNA", at positions 969 to 1509 of the family's 1533-position model. The record is from RNAcentral.